GACGAACGCUGGCGGCGUGCUUAACACAUGCAAGUCGAACGGAAAGGCCCCUUUGGGGGUCCUCGAGUGGCGAACGGGUGAGUAACACGUGAGUAACCUGCCCUUCACUUCGGGAUAACUUCAGGAAACUGGGGCUAAUCCCGGAUAGGAAUCCUUGCUGCAUGGUGGGGGUUGGAAAGCUUCGGCGGUUUUGGAUGGACUCGCGGCUUAUCAGCUUGUUGGUGGGGUAGUGGCUUACCAAGGCUUUGACGGGUAGCCGGCCUGAGAGGGCGACCGGCCACAUUGGGACUGAGGUACGGCCCAGACUCCUACGGGAGGCAGCAGGGGGGAAUAUUGCACAAUGGGCGGAAGGCUGAUGCAGCAGCGCCGCGGGCGGGAUGACGGCCUUCGGGGUGUAAACCGCUUUCAGCAGGGGCGAAGCUUGUGGUGACGGUACCUGCAGAAGAAGCACCGGCUAACUACGUG
This 465-nucleotide ribosomal RNA is filed under the name uncultured bacterium. RNAcentral describes it as "partial 16S ribosomal RNA". It matches the Rfam family "Bacterial small subunit ribosomal RNA", at positions 28 to 507 of the family's 1533-position model. The record is from RNAcentral.